RNAcentral lists this ribosomal RNA (524 nucleotides) under uncultured bacterium. RNAcentral's name for it is "partial 16S ribosomal RNA". It matches the Rfam family "Bacterial small subunit ribosomal RNA", at positions 28 to 523 of the family's 1533-position model. The record is from RNAcentral.
GACGAACGCUGGCGGCGUGCUUAACACAUGCAAGUCGAACGAGACGAUUGAAAGCUUGCUUUUGAAAGUCGAGUGGCAAACGGGUGAGUAACGCGUAGACAACCUGCCUUUGAGAUGGGGACAACAGUUCGAAAGGACUGCUAAUACCGAAUGUUGUAUAUUUCCCACAUGGAAGAUAUAUUAAAGAUGGCCUCUAUUUAUAAGUUAUCGCUCAAAGAUGGGUCUGCGUCUGAUUAGCUGGUUGGUGGGGUAACGGCCUACCAAGGCGACGAUCAGUAGCCGGUCUGAGAGGAUGAACGGCCACAUUGGGACUGAGACACGGCCCAGACUCCUACGGGAGGCAGCAGUGGGGAAUCUUCCACAAUGGACGAAAGUCUGAUGGAGCAACGCCGCGUGAGUGAAGAAGGGUUUCGGCUCGUAAAGCUCUGUUGUCGGGGACGAAUGUGCAGUAUUUGAAUAAAGUACUGUAAUGACGGUACCUGACGAGGAAGCCACGGCUAACUACGUGCCAGCCGCCGCCGCGG